RNAcentral lists this ribosomal RNA (459 nucleotides) under uncultured bacterium. Its description in RNAcentral is "partial 16S ribosomal RNA". It matches the Rfam family "Bacterial small subunit ribosomal RNA", at positions 338 to 795 of the family's 1533-position model. The record is from RNAcentral.
CCUACGGGAGGCAGCAGUGAGGAAUAUUGGUCAAUGGGCGGGAGCCUGAACCAGCCAAGCCGCGUGAGGGAAGAAGGUACAGCGUAUCGUAAACCUCUUUUGUCAGGGAACAAAGGCGGGGACUAGUCCCCGGAUGAGGGUACCUGAAGAAAAAGCAUCGGCUAACUCCGUGCCAGCAGCCGCGGUAAUACGGAGGAUGCGAGCGUUAUCCGGAUUUAUUGGGUUAAAGGGGUGCGCAGGGGGCCUGUUAAGUCAGCGGGAAAAGCCCGGGGCUCAACCCCGGCGGGCCGUUGAAACUGGCGGGCUGGAGUUGGAGAGAAGUACGCGGAAUGCGCGGUGUAGCGGUGAAAUGCUUAGAUAUCGCGCAGAACCCCGAUUGCGAAGGCAGCGUACCGGCUCCACACUGACGCUGAGGCACGAAGGCGUGGGUAUCGAACAGGAUUAGAUACCCUAGUAGUC